RNAcentral lists this ribosomal RNA (253 nucleotides) under uncultured bacterium. Its description in RNAcentral is "partial 16S ribosomal RNA". It matches the Rfam family "Bacterial small subunit ribosomal RNA", at positions 524 to 776 of the family's 1533-position model. The record is from RNAcentral.
UACAGAGGGUGCGAGCGUUAAUCGGAAUUACUGGGCGUAAAGCGCGUGUAGGCGGCCCGGAAAGUCGGAUGUGAAAGCCCUGGGCUUAACCUAGGAAGUGCAUUCGAAACUCCCGGGCUUGAGUUCUGGAGAGGAAGGCGGAAUUCUCGGUGUAGAGGUGAAAUGCGUAGAUAUCAGGAGGAACACCGGUGGCGAAGGCGGCUCUCUGGACCACAACUGACGCUGAGGCGCGAAAGCUAGGGGAGCAAACAGG